Molecule: long non-coding RNA, 393 nt
Filed under: Rattus norvegicus (Norway rat)
Lineage: Eukaryota; Metazoa; Chordata; Mammalia; Rodentia; Muridae
Description: long non-coding RNA NONRATT031271
Source: RNAcentral
GCGCACAGGAAGACCAAGAGAGGCAGCCGCAGAGUAGGAUGCUCUGCGGGGCGCCCUGAGCCAGGGGCUCUUGAAGCAGCUUCGGGGACAGGGGCAACUGGACAGCUUUCACCAUGCAUCAGUCCCUGACUCAGCAGCGGUCCAGCGACAUGUCCCUUCCCGAUUCCAUGGGAGCCUUCAAUAGGAGGAAGAGGAACUCCAUCUACGUUACCGUUACUUUGCUUAUUGUGUCCGUGUUAAUUCUCACGGUGGGCCUUGCUGCAACUACCAGGACCCAGAAUGUGACCGUGGGAGGUUAUUACCCAGGAGUUAUUGUAAGUACAGAGAGCAUAGGUCAGCCUCUGGAGCUUGCUUGCUACAGCAUUCGUGACUCUUCUGUGAUGGUUUUCAAUU